GAUGAACGCUGGCGGCGUGCCUAAUACAUGCAAGUCGAGCGAACAGACGAGGAGCUUGCUCCUCUGACGUUAGCGGCGGACGGGUGAGUAACACGUGGAGAACCUACCUAUAAGACUGGGAUAACUUCGGGAAACCGGAGCUAAUACCGGAUAAUAUAUUGAACCGCAUGGUUCAAUAGUGAAAGACGGUUUUGCUUUCACUUAUAGAUGGAUCCGCGCCGCAUUAGCUAGUUGGUAAGGUAACGGCUUACCAAGGCAACGAUGCGUAGCCGACCUGAGAGGGUGAUCGGCCACACUGGAACUGAGACACGGUCCAGACUCCUACGGGAGGCAGCAGUAGGGAAUCUUCCGCAAUGGGCGAAAGCCUGACGGAGCAACGCCGCGUGAGUGAUGAAGGUCUUCGGAUCGUAAAACUCUGUUAUUAGGGAAGAACAAAUGUGUAAGUAACUAUGCACGUCUUGACGGUACCUAAUCAGAAAGCCACGGCUAACUACGUG
Molecule: ribosomal RNA, 497 nt
Filed under: uncultured bacterium
Lineage: Bacteria
Description: partial 16S ribosomal RNA
Rfam family: Bacterial small subunit ribosomal RNA
Source: RNAcentral